RNAcentral lists this ribosomal RNA (659 nucleotides) under uncultured beta proteobacterium. RNAcentral's name for it is "bacterial SSU rRNA". It matches the Rfam family "Bacterial small subunit ribosomal RNA", at positions 842 to 1501 of the family's 1533-position model. Lineage: Bacteria; Pseudomonadati; Pseudomonadota; Betaproteobacteria. The record is from RNAcentral.
GGUAACGAAGCUAACGCGUGAAGUUGACCGCCUGGGGAGUACGGCCGCAAGGUUAAAACUCAAAGGAAUUGACGGGGACCCGCACAAGCGGUGGAUUAUGUGGAUUAAUUCGAUGCAACGCGAAAAACCUUACCUACCCUUGACAUGCUAGGAAGUCCGCAGAGAUGUGGACGUGCCCGAAAGGGAACCUAGACACAGGUGCUGCAUGGCUGUCGUCAGCUCGUGUCGUGAGAUGUUGGGUUAAGUCCCGCAACGAGCGCAACCCUUGCCAUUAGUUGCGACAUUUAGUUGAGCACUCUAAUGGGACCGCCGGUGACAAACCGGAGGAAGGUGGGGAUGACGUCAAGUCCUCAUGGCCCUUAUGGGUAGGGCUUCACACGUAAUACAAUGGUCGGUACAGAGGGUUGCCAACCCGCGAGGGGGAGCCAAUCCCAGAAAGCCGAUCGUAGUCAGGAUUGUAGUCUGCAACUCGACUGCAUGAAGCCGGAAUCGCUAGUAAUCGCGGAUCAGCAUGUCGCGGUGAAUACGUUCCCGGGUCUUGUACACACCGCCCGUCACACCAUGGGAGUGGGUUCCACCAGAAGUAGGUAGCCUAACCGCAAGGGGGGCGCUUACCACGGUGAGAUUCAUGACUGGGGUGAAGUCGUAACAAGGUAACC